AGAUUGAACGCUGGCGGCAUGCCUUACACAUGCAAGUCGAACGCGAAAGGGGGGCAACCCCCGAGUAGAGUGGCGAACGGGUGAGUAAUACAUCGGAACGUGUCCAGUAGCGGGGGAUAACCUCUCGAAAGAGAGGCUAAUACCGCAUACGACCUACGGGUGAAAGAGGGGGAUCGCAAGACCUCUCACUAUUGGGGCGGCCGAUGUCGGAUUAGCUAGUUGGCGGGGUAAAAGCCCACCAAGGCGACGAUCCGUAGCUGGUCUGAGAGGACGACCAGCCACACUGGAACUGAGACACGGUCCAGACUCCUACGGGAGGCAGCAGUGGGGAAUUUGGACAAUGGGCGCAAGCCUGAUCCAGCCAUGCCGCGUGAGUGAAGAAGGCCUUCGGGUUGUAAAGCUCUUUCGGCGGGACGAAAGGUCCGUGUUAACACCACGGAUCCAUGACGGUACCCGCAGAAGAAGCACUGGCUAACUACGUGCCAGCAGCCGC
This 493-nucleotide ribosomal RNA is filed under the name uncultured soil bacterium. Its description in RNAcentral is "bacterial SSU rRNA". It matches the Rfam family "Bacterial small subunit ribosomal RNA", at positions 26 to 518 of the family's 1533-position model. The record is from RNAcentral.